AAACCCUCAAGCUCAGCUUGGUGUUGGGUGCUUGUCCUGCCUCCGCGCGGCGACUCACCUCAAAAUCAGUGGCAGCCCGCAUCCGCCGGCCGUGAGCGCAGCACAAACGCGCCCUAGGUCCUGGCAGGUCGGCUCUCCAAAAGCCCAUUUUACCAC
Molecule: unclassified non-coding RNA, 156 nt
Filed under: uncultured Pleosporales
Lineage: Eukaryota; Fungi; Ascomycota; Dothideomycetes; Pleosporales
Description: sequence contains ITS2
Source: RNAcentral